GACGUAGGGCGCGAGCGUUGUCCGGAUUUAUUGGGCGUAAAGAGCUCGUAGGCGGCUUGUCACGUCGAAUGUGGAAACUUGGGGCUCAACUCCAAGCUUGCAUUCGAUACGGGCAGGCUAGAGUUCGGUAGGGGAGACUGGAAUUCCUGGUGGUAGCGGUGAAAUGCGCAGAUAUCAGGAGGAACACCGGUGGCGAAGGCGGGUCUCUGGGCCGAAACUGGACGCUGGAGG
This 231-nucleotide ribosomal RNA is filed under the name uncultured bacterium. RNAcentral describes it as "partial 16S ribosomal RNA". It matches the Rfam family "Bacterial small subunit ribosomal RNA", at positions 524 to 752 of the family's 1533-position model. The record is from RNAcentral.